GAUGAACGCUGGCGGCGCGCCUAACACAUGCAAGUCGAACGAUUAAAGCACCUUCGGGUGUGUAUAAAGUGGCGAACGGCUGAGUAACACGUGGGCAACCUGCCCCUUUCAUUGGGAUAGCCACGGGAAACCGUGGAUAAUACCGAAUACUUCGAGACUUCCGCAUGGAAGACUCGAGAAAGCUCCGGCGGAGAGGGAUGGGCCCGCGGCCUGUUAGCUUGUUGGUGGGGUAACGGCCUACCAAGGCAAUGAUGGGUAGCUGGGUUGAGAGACCGACCAGCCAGAUUGGGACUGAGACACAGCCCAGACUCCUACGGGAGGCAGCAGUGGGGAAUCUUGCACAAUGGGCGAAAGCCUGAUGCAGCGACGCCGCGUGCGGGAUGAAGGCCUUCGGGUUGUAAACCGCUUUCAGCAGGGACGAGGCGAAAGUGACGGUACCUGCAGAAGAAGCCCCGGCUAACUACGUG
This 467-nucleotide ribosomal RNA is filed under the name uncultured bacterium. RNAcentral's name for it is "partial 16S ribosomal RNA". It matches the Rfam family "Bacterial small subunit ribosomal RNA", at positions 28 to 507 of the family's 1533-position model. The record is from RNAcentral.